Molecule: ribosomal RNA, 437 nt
Filed under: uncultured bacterium
Lineage: Bacteria
Description: bacterial SSU rRNA
Rfam family: Bacterial small subunit ribosomal RNA
Source: RNAcentral
ACGCGUGGAACCUUACCAGGUCUUGACAUCCCAUUGACCGCUAUGGAGACAUAGCUUUCCCUUCGGGGGACAGAGUGACAGGUGGUGCAUGGUUGUCGUCAGCUCGUGUCGUGAGAUGUUGGGUUAAGUCCCGCAACGAGCGCAACCCUUGUUCUUAGUUGCCAUCAUUUAGUUGGGCACUCUAAGGAGACUGCCGGUGACAAACCGGAGGAAGGUGGGGAUGACGUCAAAUCAUCAUGCCCCUUAUGACCUGGGCUACACACGUGCUACAAUGGAUGGUACAAAGGGCAGCAAAGCGGUGACGCCUAGCAAAUCCCAUAAAACCAUUCUCAGUUCGGAUUGUAGGCUGCAACUCGCCUACAUGAAGCUGGAAUCGCUAGUAAUCGCGGAUCAGCAUGCCGCGGUGAAUACGUUCCCGGGCCUUGCACACACCGCCC